RNAcentral lists this transfer RNA (82 nucleotides) under Apaloderma vittatum (bar-tailed trogon). It matches the Rfam family "tRNA". Rfam says of the family: Transfer RNA (tRNA) molecules are approximately 80 nucleotides in length. Their secondary structure includes four short double-helical elements and three loops (D, anti-codon, and T loops). Further hydrogen bonds mediate the characteristic L-shaped molecular structure. tRNAs have two regions of fundamental functional importance: the anti-codon, which is responsible for specific mRNA codon recognition, and the 3' end, to which the tRNAs corresponding amino acid is attached (by aminoacyl-tRNA synthetases). tRNAs cope with the degeneracy of the genetic code in two manners: having more than one tRNA (with a specific anti-codon) for a particular amino acid; and 'wobble' base-pairing, i.e. permitting non-standard base-pairing at the 3rd anti-codon position. Lineage: Eukaryota; Metazoa; Chordata; Aves; Trogoniformes; Trogonidae. The record is from Rfam by way of RNAcentral.
GGCCGGUUAGCUCAGUGGUUUGAGCGCAGUGCUGACAACCAUCACCAACACUGAGGUCGCGGGUUCAUUUCCCACUCGGUCC